This 407-nucleotide ribosomal RNA is filed under the name Bathyarctus chani. RNAcentral's name for it is "partial 12S ribosomal RNA". The record is from RNAcentral. Lineage: Eukaryota; Metazoa; Arthropoda; Malacostraca; Decapoda; Scyllaridae.
UGAAACCAGGUUAGAUACCCUGUUAUACUAAAAUUAAAAUGGUUAGUAAUCUUGAGUAGUAAUAAUAAAUUAGUUUAAAAUUCAAAGAGUUUGGCGGUAUUUUAGUCUAGUUAGAGGAACCUGUUUCAUGAUCGAUAAACCACGAAGCAUCUUUCUUGCUCUUAUAGAUAGUUAGUAUACCUUCAUUAUUAGAUAAUUUUAUUUAUUAUAAAAAUUAUUGCAAUUAAUUUUUUAUUAAAUAUAUUAGAUCUAGGUGCUGCUUAUGGGCAAGUAGAAAUGGGUUACAAUAAAUUAAAUUUAUUAUGGAUUUAUAUUUGAAAUUUUUAUAUUGAAAGAGGAUUUAAUAGUAAUAUAGGUUUAACAUGCCUGUGUGAGAUUGGCUCUAAAAUGUGUACAUAUCGACCGUC